GGAAGGAUCAUUAACACUGCGCUGGCUUCGGCCGGACAACCCCAAACAACCUGUGCGAACUGUGAUCGUCCGUUUCAUUUUGAACACCACACACACAACGACACUAAAGCGAAUACAAUAACCAAAGAUACAACUCUUAGCAAUGGAUAUCUUGGUUCCCACAACGAUGAAGAACGCAGCGAAAUGCGAUACGUAAUGCGAAUUGCAGAAUUCAGUGAAUCAUCAAAUCUUUGAACGCAAGUUGCGCUUUCGAGAUACCCUUGAAAGCAUGCCUCUUUGAGUAUCAGUUUCCAUCUUCGGGUUCGCCCGAGCGAAUGAGACUGAGUCUCUGUGACUCUGUCUUGAAAUCAGACGCGAACGUGAUGGACAGUCGUCGUGGACUUUGUGAAAAUCAAGUCAGCCGUCGCUGUCAGCUCCGUUCGCCACGGAAUGUGUGUGUGUGUGCUUUUGCGCGCGCACGCUCAACACUCUAGAUCUCAAAUGAGGUAAGACUACCCGCCGAAUUUAAGCAUAUAAUUAAGCGGAGGAAAAGAAACUAACAAGGAUUCCCCUAGUAACGGCGAGUGAAGCGGGAAGAGCUCAAACCGAAAAUCUCCGGGGUGAAAACACCGGCGAAUUGUGGUCUAUUGAAGCGUGUCUCAGCGAGCGGUCCCGGUCCAAGUCGAUUGGAACAUCGCAUCGGAGAGGGUGAGAAUCCCGUUCUUGACUGGGUGUCCGCCGCGUUCGAGCCGCUCUCAAAGAGUCGGGUUGCUUGGGAGUGCAGCCCUAAGUGGGUGGUAAAUUUCAUCUAAAGCUAAAUACAUGUGGGAGACCGAUAGCGAACAAGUACCGUGAGGGAAAGAUGAAAAGAACUUUGAAAAGAGAGUCAAAAAGUACUUGAAAUUGCUGAGAACGAAGGGAUGGCGUCUAGUAAUGAUCCGGGCGACACCCGUAUCGCUGUCGAUCCGUGCCGCAUGCAAUUGCUUCUGGCUUUGCGCGGGGCGGUCGUCGGCGGUGCUGCGGGGUCAUGUCGUUCGGGUCGAGGUCAGAAUGGAUUCGUGGCGGUCGAAAACGUCGACGGGAAGGUAGCCUGGAGGUUUGCGCCUCUUUGAACUUAUAGCCCGCCGUCGAGAGACUGUCAUGGAUCGAGGUGCUGAAGCGCGCGCUCUAAGCUCUUGGUGCUUCGCCCGCUGUCGGGUACGUCGUCGUUGGGGAACAAAGUUCCGCUUCGGCCGGCUGCCUGCACUCGGGCGAUCGCUCAUUUGUCGCGCUCGUGAUUCUGACGAAAUGGUCGUCAUUCACCCGUCUUGAAACACGGACCAAGGAGUCUUACAUAUAUGCGAGUAAUCGAGUGGAAAACUCGCUUGCGCAAUGAAGGUGACUGAAUGUGAUCCCGCAUGCCGGGAGCAACAUCGGGCGGCUAACAUACUUGUACGACCCGGAGCAUAUCUGUAGGGACCCGAAAGAUGGUGAACUAUGCUUGAGCAGGAUGAAGCCAGGGGAAACUCUGGUGGAAGUCCGAAGCGAUACUGACGUGCAAAUCGUUCGUCUGACUUGAGUAUAGGGGCGAAAGACUAAUCGAACUAUCUAGUAGCUGGUUCCCUC
Molecule: unclassified non-coding RNA, 1584 nt
Filed under: uncultured fungus
Lineage: Eukaryota; Fungi
Description: sequence contains 18S rRNA gene, ITS1, 5.8S rRNA gene, ITS2, 28S rRNA gene
Rfam family: Eukaryotic large subunit ribosomal RNA (bases 472-1584)
Source: RNAcentral